This 1159-nucleotide long non-coding RNA is filed under the name Oryctolagus cuniculus (rabbit). Its description in RNAcentral is "lncRNA (ENSOCUG00000029786.1)". The record is from RNAcentral. Lineage: Eukaryota; Metazoa; Chordata; Mammalia; Lagomorpha; Leporidae.
AUGGUUAACAAUGAUUAUGAGUAUUCAAGACUUAAAACACCUGGGUCAUUGUGUUUUAAAGAACUAGAACACUCAUCCUCAGGACCACAGCUGCUCGGGGGUAUAAUUUCAAUCUCUUUUGAAAAUUUGGAAAGUAUUCUAGAAUUCUCAGAGCAUAUAAUUAGUCUACUACAUAUGCAAAGGGUGCUGGGGAACAGAGCAUUGUGGAGAAUAGAAUUCCAGACCACAGGAUUAACAUUUUCAAACAUGAUACCCAUUCUAUUCCUUACUUUUCAUGAAGAUAUAGAUAAAAGAAAAUCAGAAAAUGCAACUGAGUCUGUAAGAUUGUCACAAAACACACCAAACACCAGAGAUCAUCCAGUUCUCCUCAGUAUGGGAUGUCGUUCUGUCUGUAAGAUAAAAAGAAGUGACCGUUGGUUUGUUCACUGAAACCAUCUACAGUGAAAAACGCAGGAGUGUCUUCUUUUGAUUUCACGAUUUACAGUUAGAGAGAUUCUUCACAUUCACCUUUGCUAGCAUCCUUCUGCUGGAAUCCCUUGGUGCUCUUGAGAACCGCAGGACAUCAAGCCAAGCCUCAUCUGCACAUUCCAAAGUCUAACAGAAAACCGACUGUUUUGACAGAUUCUUCCCCAUAGGAUGAUCAUUUAGACAGAAAUUGUUCCCCUGCUGUCCUGUCCAGGAAUGUGGAACACAAAGACUAUUCAGAGAGUGAACUUUGUCUCAGUCUGCCCUGAACUUGCUUUGUUCUUUUCGCAAAUGCACCUGUUUACAUUUCCGUAAUUUUUUUCGUGUCUUUAAGGGAACUAUGAGGAUGCAACAAUGUGUUAUGACUGGAUUGGAAUUCUUUAUCAUUCCAAAACGUCUUGUUCCCUAGGGGGUAGUGUUUGGUGAAGAAGGUAACGUGCCAUCAGAGUGCCUGGUCACCAGCACUGCUCUCCAUUCUAGUUUCUAAUGCAGAGCCUGGGAGGAAGCAAGUGACAGUCCAAGUAUUUGAGUCUGUGCCAUCCACCUGAGAGACCCACACUGAGUUCUAGGCUCCCAUCUUCAGGCCUUGCUUUGGCUGUUGUGGGCACUUGUGGCUGUUGUGGGCACCUCCAAGAACAUGGAGGAUACAUUUCUGUCUCUCUGCCUUUCAAAUAAAUAAAACAGAGGGAGGGCA